AGACUCAGAGAGAGAAAGGGGUUGUGGACAAGAAAUACCUUCCAGGGCAUGGCCCAAGUGACCUACAUCCUCCAACUAGAUUCUACCUUCCAGUGGUCUAUUCAGCUAUCAAUGGAUUACCUAGUAGUGAGAGAGUUCUCUGUAGCUGGGUACAGAGGAGAAGCCAGAAUCUUGAAGCAGAACUGAAUUCUACUGACCUGAAUGAGCUUGGAAGAAGAUUUCCACUCUCCCCCAGCCUGGGUGAUGCACUGACUUUAGCCUUCUGAUAGCUGACAAUGAGCAGAGAGGCAGCCACCCCACACCAGAUUUCUGACCAAAUGAACUAUGAGCUAUUAACGAAUGUUGUUUAAAAUUUACAUAGCUCGUGCUGAUUUCUUAUGGAACAAUAAAAACCUGAUUCACA
This is a non-coding RNA of Ictidomys tridecemlineatus (thirteen-lined ground squirrel), 403 nucleotides long. The record is from RefSeq and is a predicted model, not a curated record. Lineage: Eukaryota; Metazoa; Chordata; Mammalia; Rodentia; Sciuridae.